CCUACGGGAGGCAGCAGUAGGGAAUCUUCCGCAAUGGACGAAAGUCUGACGGGGCAACGCCGCGUGAACGAUGAAGGCCUUCGGGUCGUAAAGUUCUGUUGUUAGGGAAGAACAAGUGCUAGUUGAAUAAGCUGGCACCUUGACGGUACCUAACCAGAAAGCCACGGCUAACUACGUGCCAGCAGCCGCGGUAAUACGUAGGUGGCAAGCGUUGUCCGGAAUUAUUGGGCGUAAAGCGCGCGCAGGCGGUUUCUUAAGUCUGAUGUGAAAGCCCCCGGCUCAACCGGGGAGGGUCAUUGGAAACUGGGAAACUUGAGUGCAGAAGAGGAAAGUGGAAUUCCAAGUGUAGCGGUGAAAUGCGUAGAGAUUUGGAGGAACACCAGUGGCGAAGGCGACUUUCUGGUCUGUAACUGACGCUGAGGCGCGAAAGCGUGGGGAGCAAACAGGAUUAGAUACCCUGGUAGUCCACGCUGUAAACGAUGAGUGCUAAGUGUUAGAGGGUUUCCGCCCUUUAGUGCUGAAGUUAACGCAUUAAGCACUCCGCCUGGGGAGUACGGUCGCAAGACUGAAACUCAAAUGAAAUUGACGGCUGAGAGNGCGAGACGACACGAGGGAGAG
RNAcentral lists this ribosomal RNA (618 nucleotides) under uncultured bacterium. RNAcentral describes it as "bacterial SSU rRNA". It matches the Rfam family "Bacterial small subunit ribosomal RNA", at positions 338 to 949 of the family's 1533-position model. The record is from RNAcentral.